Molecule: ribosomal RNA, 439 nt
Filed under: uncultured bacterium
Lineage: Bacteria
Description: partial 16S ribosomal RNA
Rfam family: Bacterial small subunit ribosomal RNA
Source: RNAcentral
CCUACGAGUGGCAGCAGUGGGGAAUAUUGCACAAUGGGGGAAACCCUGAUGCAGCGACGCCGCGUGAGUGAAGAAGUAUUUCGGUAUGUAAAGCUCUAUCAGCAGGGAAGAAAAUGACGGUACCUGAUUAAGAAGCCCCGGCUAACUACGUGCCAGCCGCGGCGGUAAUACGUAGGGGGCAAGCGUUAUCCGGAUUUAUGGGGUUAAAAGGGGAGGCAGGCGGUCUGUUAAGUCAGCGGUCAAAGCCCGGGGCCCAACCCCGGCCCGCCGUUGAAACUGGCAGUCUCGAGUUGGAGGGAAGUAUGCGGAAUGCGCGGUGUAGCGGUGAAAUGCAUAGAUAUCGCGCAGAACUCCGAUUGCGAAGGCAGCAUGCCGGCUCCACACUGACGCUGAGGCACGAAAGCGUGGGUAUCGAACAGGAUUAGAUACCCCUGUAGUC